UACGGAGGGUGCAAGCGUUAAUCGGAUUUACUGGGCGUAAAGCGCACGUAGGUGGUUUGUUAAGUCGGAUGUGAAAUCCCCGGGCUCAACCUUGGAACUGCCUUUGAUACUGGCUAUCUUGAGUAUGGGAGAGGUGAGUGGAACUCCGAGUGUAGAGGUGAAAUUCGUAGAUAUUCGGAAGAACACCAGUGGCGAAGGCGACUCACUGGCCCAUUACUGACGCUGAGGCUCGAAAGCGUGGGGAGCAAACAGGAUUAGAUACCCCGGUAGU
RNAcentral lists this ribosomal RNA (271 nucleotides) under uncultured bacterium. RNAcentral describes it as "partial 16S ribosomal RNA". It matches the Rfam family "Bacterial small subunit ribosomal RNA", at positions 524 to 794 of the family's 1533-position model. The record is from RNAcentral.